Molecule: long non-coding RNA, 250 nt
Organism: Bactrocera dorsalis (oriental fruit fly)
Lineage: Eukaryota; Metazoa; Arthropoda; Insecta; Diptera; Tephritidae
Exons: 2
Source: RefSeq, a predicted model, not a curated record
GAAUUUCAUUAAAUCCAAAGUAGAAAGUUCAACGUUUUUUUUGGAAAACGGUUUUCAAAUCUACGCCAGUAUGGAUGAGUUAAAAAAAAAGAACUUUACUGCGUUUAUUUAAGAAAAGUAUUUAAAAAAAUGGAAACUGGGUCUCUACAGGGGUUGAAAUAACGUCAACCAGGACGCACCGUUUGUUUUGAAGCCCCUCCACCGGCCCGUAUCUCGACGAAUUUUGGUUUUAUUUCUUGCAAUUUUUUUU